This 466-nucleotide ribosomal RNA is filed under the name uncultured bacterium. Its description in RNAcentral is "partial 16S ribosomal RNA". It matches the Rfam family "Bacterial small subunit ribosomal RNA", at positions 30 to 507 of the family's 1533-position model. The record is from RNAcentral.
CGAACGCUGGCGGCGUGCUUAACACAUGCAAGUCGAACGGAAAGGCCCUGCUUUUGUGGGGUGCUCGAGUGGCGAACGGGUGAGUAACACGUGAGUAACCUGCCCUUGACUUUGGGAUAACUUCAGGAAACUGGGGCUAAUACCGGAUAGGAGCUCCUGCUGCAUGGUGGGGGUUGGAAAGUUUCGGCGGUUGGGGAUGGACUCGCGGCUUAUCAGCUUGUUGGUGGGGCAGUGGCUUACCAAGGCUUUGACGGGUAGCCGGCCUGAGAGGGUGACCGGCCACAUUGGGACUGAGAUACGGCCCAGACUCCUACGGGAGGCAGCAGUGGGGAAUAUUGCACAAUGGGCGGAAGCCUGAUGCAGCAACGCCGCGUGCGGGAUGACGGCCUUCGGGUUGUAAACCGCUUUCGCCUGUGACGAAGCGUGAGUGACGGUAAUGGGUAAAGAAGCACCGGCUAACUACGUG